RNAcentral lists this ribosomal RNA (469 nucleotides) under uncultured bacterium. Its description in RNAcentral is "partial 16S ribosomal RNA". It matches the Rfam family "Bacterial small subunit ribosomal RNA", at positions 28 to 507 of the family's 1533-position model. The record is from RNAcentral.
GAUGAACGCUGGCGGCGCGCCUAACACAUGCAAGUCGAACGGUUAAAGCACCUUUUAGGUGUGUAUAAAGUGGCGAACGGCUGAGUAACACGUGGGCAACCUGCCCUCCUCUUGGGGAUAGCCUCGGGAAACCGAGGAUAAUACCCGAUACUUCAAUGUGGCCGCAUGACGACCUUGAGAAAGCUUUUGCGGAGAAGGAUGGGCCCGCGGCCUGUUGGCUUGUUGGUGGGGUAGAUGCCUACCAAGGCAAUGAUGGGUAGCUGGGGUGUGAGACCGACCAGCCAGAUUGGGACUGAGACACGGCCCAGGCUCCGACGGGAGGCAGAAGUGGGGAAUCUUGCACAAUGGACGAAGGCCGGAUGCAGCGACGCCGCGUGCGGGAAGAAGGCCUUAGGGUUGUAAACCGCUUGCAGCAGGAACGAGGCGAUAAGUGACGGUACCUGCAGAAGAAGCCCCGGCUAACUACGUG